Molecule: long non-coding RNA, 3527 nt
Organism: Mus musculus (house mouse)
Lineage: Eukaryota; Metazoa; Chordata; Mammalia; Rodentia; Muridae
Product: predicted gene, 53698
Exons: 3
Source: RefSeq, a predicted model, not a curated record
AUUGUAGUCCGCGCCCUGCGCCCCCGGAGCGUGAGAGGGCUGAGAUCGCUGCGGUUUGGGGACCUCUGACACAGCCUCCGCGUGAUUGCCAUCACAACAGUUGCAAGACUUACUCGCGCUCACCUUCUUCAGAUAUAUUUUGCCUGGUAUAAGAAGAGAGAUGACUGUGGGCAAGCAUAAUCACUGCACAGAGGAUGGGAUCUUUCCAGAAAGUGAUAAAGAAGGCAGAACGCCAUGAGAACCGUGCUAGAGUAACAAGAUCUUCAGAGCGAUCUGUUGCCAGAGAAUAAACAGCUCAAAGAAGCAAAAUCAAGAUGUUUCUGGAAGGGACAAGCUCUUUCCCGUAUGUUGGAGAGGGAGGUAAAAUCUAGCCCGAGAAGUGACAUUCCAGUAGCUUGCUUAAUGAGUACCUGGAGAGUGUCACAGGGGCCAAGGGCUUCAGCCCCAUGAGCUGAAACUUUUAUGUGUCAUGAUGGAAUCCUGAUAUGGAGUGUACUUCCCUAUGUUAUGAAAAACAUCAGUGAAAACUAUAGCAGCACUAAAACAUGCUCUACAGACAAAGAAGCCCUGUGUUACCUUGAGAUGCACAGUGCAUUGGAGUCCUGCCUGAGAAGUGUCCUUUUGCUGUAGAAGAGAACCUUGGAUCUUAGAACUGAAGACAAGAGCAUGGGCUGGGGAGAUGGCCUGCCAUGGCAAGCACAGGACCCAAGAUAGAAUCCCUGGAGCCCUUUGGAAAGCAGAGUGGUGACAAAUCUGCAAUUCCUGACUCCUAUAUUAAGUGGGUAAGAGCUUUUCUCUAGAAGCUCGAAGACCAGCUUGAGUGACACAUGCAAGAGAUCCGGCCUUAAAUACGUUUGAGGAUAGGCACCCAAGGUUGUCUUCUGAUCUCCACAUGCACAUGCACACACAGCAUCCAUGCAUGUGCACAUAGCAUACAUGCGUACACACAUGCACUACAGCAUACACACGUGCAAACAUAGCAUACAUGCAUACACACACGAACAAAUGGCAUACACACAUGCAUAAAUAGCAUACAUGCAUACACAUAUACACACAUGGUAUAUAUACAUGCAUACAACAUAUACACACGUACACAACACAACAUAUACAGUAUACACACAAGCACACACAGCAUACACACAUGCACACACACACUUCUCAUACACUUAUUAUUUCUUUUAGUUUCCUGCCAUCGUUAUAGCACAUCUCAGUGAUGAAGAGAGAGUGCUCAGAACAAAUGUGACCACAAGCACACCAUUGGAGGAGGGCCUUGUUAAGUGCUUUUUGUCUUAAAAACAAACAGUUUUGCUGAACUGAAGCAGGUGCCGCCCGUGUAAUCCUAGCACUUGAGCAGCAGACAUAGGACGACCAAGAAUUUCAGGUUACCCUUAGCAACAUUUGUUAGAGCUUAGUCUGGGCUACCCGGAACAUCUCAUUCACCAGCCCCUCCCCUUUCCUUGCCUCUGUCUUCACCCUCCCCCUUUCUGUGAGGCUGAGGAUCAACCUAAGGAUUUAGGCACAUCAGGCCACCACUCUUCCUCUAAGCUGACCUUAGUUAGCCAGUGAGGCCCUUCUCCCUUGAUUCAAAGGUCUGCCUUCAAUUUACUCUCCUUUAUCAGUUCCUGCCUUUUAACAGUCAGCCUGGGGUAAGGUAAAGGGCAUACAAGGUCUGCCUCAGUUCUUUUCCUGCUUGUGGGUUUUGGCAACUAUUAGAUUCCUUUGUUGUAAAUGUGGCAGUCUUAAUUUCCUCCCUGCCUCCUGACUGAAUAAAGGUGAACUGGCAAUAGAUAUUUAGUUACUGUUAGGUCUCAAACCAGGAACAAAGAGCUGAGGUCCUAUUAACAUAUCAAAGCAGACUCUGGCCACCAGGUCCUGCCAGUAUCCCUCAGUCCCUCUCUGCUAAAAUGUAUGGCUAGUAUACCCCAGCCCUCUACCUUGAACUCUCCAGCCCAGAAACUGAGCUGUCCUUCCUUUAACUGCUUGCUAUUCACUACAUAAUCCAGUCGUUUGGGGGCACACUGGUCCUUUUUACCCUCUUUUAUCUUUUUGUUCUCCUGGUCUCCUGGCUAUCCCCUUCCCACUCUCCUCACAUGGCCUGGCUCAGACUGCUGGUCAUGUCCAGUCUGCACUUUCCCGGAUGUCUCCACAUCUGGCUAUGCUCUCCCUCAUAUCUCCACUAAACUAACUAUCUCCACCAUAUCUAGGAGCAGCCAUGUCCUCUUUUUUAUUUCUUUAUUUUCAUUCAGUGACUGUAAAGAGAGAUGGAUAAUGUUGCCAGGUGCCUGUCCUAAGAGCUGCCUGGCACUCGAUACAGGGCUGCCAGCAUUCUCUAACAAUCUAGUUCUCACUGUGAUCCUUCAGUAUGUUACUCUUCUCUAUCUGCUAAUCUAGCUCCCUGGGAUGCAUGGCUUAAUCAUUCAUUCAUUCUUUCAUUCAUUCAAGUAUUCAUAAACUUAGUUUUUUUUUAAGUUACAUUCAUUAGAGAGAGAGAGAGAGAGAGAGAGAGAGAGAGAAUUGAGACAUGUAUGGGGGUCAGAGGCUAACUUGUAGAAAUUUACCAUGUGUUUUCCAAGAUUCAAAUUUAGGUUGUUAGGCUUAGCAGCAAGCGCCUUUCUCCACUGAGUCACCUAACAGCCCCAUACAAGCUUUCAUUUGUGGAAACUUUCAAACAUAAUAAAGCUUAGUGAACUCCCGCUCUUGUUUCAGAGAUACUACCAUCUCCUAGCUAAGAUACUACCAUCUCCUAACUAAGUGACUUUAAAUGAAUCCUAAGUCACAUUGUGUGCCUGUAAAUAUUGUCCAUAUGCAUCUCAAAAAUAAGUGAUCUACAAAGGUACCAAAAUGCCAUUAUUUUAUCUUUAAAAAAAUUAAACUGGGCUGAGUGGUGGUGGGCAUUCCUUUAAUCGCAUCACUCAGGAGGCAAAGGCAGGCAGAUAUCUUGAGUUGGAGGUCAGCCUGGUCUACGGAGUUUCAGGGCAGCCAGGGCUACAUAGAGAAACACUGUCCUUGAGAAAACAAAACAAAACAAAACAAAACAAAACAAAACUGGGUGUGGUGGUUCAUGCUUGCAAUCUCAUGUCGGAGGCUGAGGCAGGAGGAUCAUGAUGAAUUCCAGGGUAGCCUGGAAACACACACACAGACACACACACACACACACACACACACACACACAGAAAGACAAAAGACAACAGCAAAAUGUUUGUGUGUCUGAAAGGUAAAUCUCAAGUUAUAGUCACAACUCUAGAUCUUAUCCCUUCUACCCUGGUCCCUCCCUUCUAACAAACAGCAUUCUAUUUUUAGGUAUUCAUAAUCACACUAUAUGUAGCCAGACAACAUGCAUUCAUGAAUGUACUGUACAUGGAAGUGCAAAUAUGUUUGAACCAGCUGAAUGAAACCACCUUUCUCUGUCUUGCUUUCCUGUUGUGACUUGAGUACUCAUAGCAUCCCAAGGACUCUUCAUGUAUACAUACAUUAGUUAUGCCAGCUCCCUACUAAUAAACAUUUUGAUUGUUUCUAUUCUUAUACUA